GGCGCUGUGGCUUUGUUGGUCAAAGCGCCUGUCUAGUAAACAGGAGAUCCUGAAGAAGAUUUCUAUUCUCUCAGUGUAA
This 79-nucleotide transfer RNA is filed under the name Danio rerio (zebrafish). It matches the Rfam family "tRNA". Rfam says of the family: Transfer RNA (tRNA) molecules are approximately 80 nucleotides in length. Their secondary structure includes four short double-helical elements and three loops (D, anti-codon, and T loops). Further hydrogen bonds mediate the characteristic L-shaped molecular structure. tRNAs have two regions of fundamental functional importance: the anti-codon, which is responsible for specific mRNA codon recognition, and the 3' end, to which the tRNAs corresponding amino acid is attached (by aminoacyl-tRNA synthetases). tRNAs cope with the degeneracy of the genetic code in two manners: having more than one tRNA (with a specific anti-codon) for a particular amino acid; and 'wobble' base-pairing, i.e. permitting non-standard base-pairing at the 3rd anti-codon position. Lineage: Eukaryota; Metazoa; Chordata; Actinopteri; Cypriniformes; Danionidae. The record is from Rfam by way of RNAcentral.